Molecule: ribosomal RNA, 253 nt
Filed under: uncultured bacterium
Lineage: Bacteria
Description: partial 16S ribosomal RNA
Rfam family: Bacterial small subunit ribosomal RNA
Source: RNAcentral
UACGUAGGGUGCAAGCGUUGUCCGGAAUUAUUGGGCGUAAAGAGCUUGUAGGCGGUUUGUCGCGUCUGCUGUGAAAACUCAGGGCUUAACCCUGAGCUUGCAGUGGGUACGGGCAGACUAGAGUGCGGUAGGGGAGACUGGAAUUCCUGGUGUAGCGGUGAAAUGCGCAGAUAUCAGGAGGAACACCGGUGGCGAAGGCGGGUCUCUGGGCCGUAACUGACGCUGAGGAGCGAAAGCAUGGGGAGCGAACAGG